AGGAGAGUUUGGUCAUGGCUCAGAUUGAACGCUGGCGGCAGGCCUAACACAUGCAAGUCGAACGGUAACAUUUCUAGCUUGCUAGAAGAUGACGAGUGGCGGACGGGUGAGUAAUGCUUGGGAACUUGCCUUUGCGAGGGGGAUAACAGUUGGAAACGACUGCUAAUACCGCAUAAUGUCUUCGGACCAAACGGGGCUUAGGCUCCGGCGCAAAGAGAGGCCCAAGUGAGAUUAGCUAGUUGGUAAGGUAACGGCUUACCAAGGCGACGAUCUCUAGCUGUUCUGAGAGGAAGAUCAGCCACACUGGGACUGAGACACGGCCCAGACUCCUACGGGAGGCAGCAGUGGGGAAUAUUGCACAAUGGGGGAAACCCUGAUGCAGCCAUGCCGCGUGUGUGAAGAAGGCCUUCGGGUUGUAAAGCACUUUCAGUUGUGAGGAAAAGUUAGUAGUUAAUACCUGCUAGCCGUGACGUUAACAACAGAAGAAGCACCGGCUAACUCCGUGCCAGCAGCCGCGGUAAUACGGAGGGUGCGAGCGUUAAUCGGAAUUACUGGGCGUAAAGCGCACGCAGGCGGUUUGUUAAGCUAGAUGUGAAAGCCCCGGGCUCAACCUGGGAUGGUCAUUUAGAACU
This 632-nucleotide ribosomal RNA is filed under the name uncultured bacterium. Its description in RNAcentral is "bacterial SSU rRNA". It matches the Rfam family "Bacterial small subunit ribosomal RNA", at positions 1 to 634 of the family's 1533-position model. The record is from RNAcentral.